AGAGUUUGAUCCUGGCUCAGAACGAACGCUGGCGGCGCGUUUAAAGCAUGCAAGUCGAACGGUAGGGUAGUGCUUGCACUACUUGAGAGUGGCGAACGGGUGAGUAACACGUAGGUGAUCUACCCUGAUGUUGGGGAUAGCCUGUGGAAACAUAGGGUAAUACCCGAUGUGGCUAGUACCUUGCGGGGUAUUAGAGAAAGGUGCUGAGGCACCGCAUUAGGAUGAGCCUGCGUCUGAUUAGUUAGUUGGUGGGGUAAAGGCCUACCAAGGCGACGAUCAGUAGCCGGCCUGAGAGGGUGACCGGCCACACUGGGACUGAGACACGGCCCAGACACCUACGGGUGGCAGC
Molecule: ribosomal RNA, 349 nt
Filed under: uncultured bacterium
Lineage: Bacteria
Description: bacterial SSU rRNA
Rfam family: Bacterial small subunit ribosomal RNA
Source: RNAcentral